AUGGGGUUUAUUAUAGGGGAUAUGGGGUUAUUAUGGGAUGGGUUAUUAUGGGAUGGGGAUGUGGCCCCCCCCUGCCCCCCACAGCACCCAUGGGUGCUGCCCUGCGCCGCAUGCAGGGGGCGCUGCGGCGUCGCCAUGCCCCAGGCUCUGUCCCAUGGGGGGUCCUGGCCGAGAGCUCCAGGAUCUGGCGCACGCUGGGACCCUCCUUUGUGGACGGGCUGGCGGCCGCCGGUUGGGAGACGCAGCGACCCCUGCUGGCCCCCGACCAAUGGGAGCUCGAGUGGGCGGGGCCAGGGGGCGGGGCCUCGAAGGAGGAGCCCCGCCCCCUGUGACCGGAUCCGCCCCCAAGGAGCCCCAAAAUGGGCUGAAAACAGCGGAUUUUAGCAACGAAGGGGCCAAAAAUCCCCAAUUUUGGGUUAUUACUAAAAAUGAGCAAUUUUCUAACCGUGUUUUUGGUCAUUUUGGGGCAGUUUGGGUUGAUUUGGAGGUGGUUUAGGGGCUUCUUUUUG
Melopsittacus undulatus (budgerigar) is the source of this 509-nucleotide long non-coding RNA. The record is from Ensembl. NCBI's taxonomy places the organism in Eukaryota, Metazoa, Chordata, Aves, Psittaciformes, Psittaculidae.